Molecule: ribosomal RNA, 539 nt
Filed under: uncultured bacterium
Lineage: Bacteria
Description: bacterial SSU rRNA
Rfam family: Bacterial small subunit ribosomal RNA
Source: RNAcentral
AGGGUUCGAUUAUGGCUCAGAUUGAACGCUGGCGGUAGGUUUUAAACAUGCAAGUCGAGCGGUAACAGACAUUUUGAUUCAGCUUGCUGAAUCUCGUGCUGACGAGCGGCGAACGGGUGAGUAACGCGUAGGAAUCUACCCAGUAGCGGGGGAUAGCCCGAGGAAACUCGGAUUAAUACCGCAUAUGCCCUUAGGGGGAAAGGGGGCAUCUUUGAUGCUCUCACUAUUGGAUGAGCCUGCGUAAGAUUAGCUUGUUGGUAGGGUAAAGGCCUACCAAGGCUACGAUCUUUAGCUGGUCUGAGAGGACGAUCAGCCACAUUGGGACUGAGACACGGCCCAGACGUCUACGGACGGCAGCAGUUAAGAAUAUUGGACAAUGGGGGAAACCCUGAUCCAGCCAUACCGCGUGUGUGAAGAAGGCCUUAGGGUUGUAAAGCACUUUAAGCAACGAAGAAGAAAAAUAAGUUAAUACCUUAUUUUUUUGACAUUAAUUGCAGAAUAAGUACCGGCUAACUCCGUGCCAGCAGCCGCGGUAAUAC